RNAcentral lists this ribosomal RNA (600 nucleotides) under bacterium 8RD. RNAcentral's name for it is "bacterial SSU rRNA". It matches the Rfam family "Bacterial small subunit ribosomal RNA", at positions 77 to 670 of the family's 1533-position model. The record is from RNAcentral.
AGUUUACUAUUCUGCUGACGAGCGGCGGACGGGUGAGUAAUGCCUAGGAAUCUGCCUAGUAGUGGGGGAUAACUUGCCGAAAGGUAAGCUAAUACCGCAUACGUCCUACGGGAGAAAGGAGGGGACCUUCGGGCCUUUCGCUAUUAGAUGAGCCUAGGUCGGAUUAGUUAGUUGGUGAGGUAAUGGCUCACCAAGACCGCGAUCCGUAACUGGUCUGAGAGGAUGAUCAGUCACACUGGAACUGAGACACGGUCCAGACUCCUACGGGAGGCAGCAGUGGGGAAUAUUGGACAAUGGGGGGAACCCUGAUCCAGCCAUGCCGCGUGUGUGAAGAAGGUCUUAGGAUUGUAAAGCACUUUAAGUUGGGAGGAAGAGCAGUUAACUAAUAUUUGACUGUUUUGACGUUACCGACAGAAUAAGCACCGGCUAACUUCGUGCCAGCAGCCGCGGUAAUACGAAGGGUGCAAGCGUUAAUCGGAAUUACUGGGCGUAAAGCGCGCGUAGGUGGUUCAGUAAGUUAGGAGUGAAAGCCCCGGGCUUAACCUGGGAAUUGCUUCUAAAACUGCUGAGCUAGAGUACGGUAGAGGGUGGUGGAAUUUC